GACGAACGCUGGCGGCGUGCUUAACACAUGCAAGUCGAACGAAGUGGCGAACGGGUGAGUAACGCGGAAUCAACUUGCCCUUCAGAGGGGGACAACAGUAGGAAACGAGUGCUAAUACCCUAUACGAAAGGUGGGGACUGGGUGCGAUUGCUUAGUUGGGGGGGUAAGGGCCAACCAAGGCGAUGAGCAGUAGGCGGUCCGGGAGGAUGAACGGCCCAAUUUGGACUGAGGCCACGCCCAACCCCCUACGGGGGGCAGGAGUGGGGGAUUUUCCGCAAUGGGCGAAAGUCUGACGGAGCAACGCCGCGUGAGUGAUGACGGCCUUCGGGUUGUAAAGCUCUGUUAAUCGGGACGCGGUACCGGAAUAGAAAGCCACGGCUAACUACGUGCCAGCAGCCGCGGUAAUUC
This 408-nucleotide ribosomal RNA is filed under the name uncultured bacterium. RNAcentral's name for it is "partial 16S ribosomal RNA". It matches the Rfam family "Bacterial small subunit ribosomal RNA", at positions 28 to 526 of the family's 1533-position model. The record is from RNAcentral.